UAGGGAGUGGUGUAAUGGGAGCACUUGGAGUUUUGAGCUCUUAAGAAGGGGUUCGAGCCCCCUCUCUCUAA
Molecule: transfer RNA, 71 nt
Filed under: Coryphaenoides alateralis
Lineage: Eukaryota; Metazoa; Chordata; Actinopteri; Gadiformes; Macrouridae
Description: tRNA-Gln
Rfam family: tRNA
About the family: Transfer RNA (tRNA) molecules are approximately 80 nucleotides in length. Their secondary structure includes four short double-helical elements and three loops (D, anti-codon, and T loops).
Source: RNAcentral